Cajanus cajan (pigeon pea) is the source of this 849-nucleotide non-coding RNA. The record is from RefSeq and is a predicted model, not a curated record. Lineage: Eukaryota; Viridiplantae; Streptophyta; Magnoliopsida; Fabales; Fabaceae.
AUGUUUUUGCCACCCCUGUGUUAACAGUGGCAUCUGAAAGCGUAUUCAGCACUGGUGGAAGAGUGUUAGAUACCUUUAGAAGCUCCCUCAACCCAGAAAUGGCUGAGGCAUUAAUCUGCUACCAAAAUUGGUUGAGACCUUGUUUGUUGCAAUUUAAAGAGGUUAAUCCAGUUGAAGAAUUAGAAAGCUCUGAAAAUAUUGUAAUAGGUAACAUUUAUUCUUUUCCCACUAUCAUUUAUAAUAUUUUUAUUUUAUUAUUUUUUAAUUUUUAGUUUUUUGUUGUCAUGUUCCUAAGAAUUUCAAAAGGGAACUACUAGAUCUCAAGGAGCUGGAGUUGUAGUAUCAAGGGUUAGGAUUGAAGAUGGUGGAGUUGGAUCAUCAUCUCAAUCACAUCCAGUGAUUACUAGCUGAAAGUCCCUUGGCGUUAUUUUUUGCUUAUUUUGGUCUACAUCCACUAAAGAUAUAUGGAGUCAUUAUUGUUUUUUUGGUAUAACAGUACUACUCAAUUACAUUUUUUGGUAAGAAAUUUUUUAUUCUUUCAUUUUCAAGAUAUGUACCAUAUUAUAUAAUGACGACUUAAUGUGUUAGCAAAUAAUUGGCAAAGAAUCAUCAUUUAGGUGGUAUCAUUGCACUUCUCAGAAUGCAUAAUAGAUCCUUCUAAAUUGCUUAUCUCAAUUUGGAAACAUGUCUUACCAAUUUGCAUGAAUUACAACAUUCUUGGAUCUUAUUAAGCUUUGUGCUUUCCUUGUCCCAUUGAUAUGUGUAGAUGAAUUCAUAUUUAUCUUUCAAUGAAUGGUAGUCUUAAAAGGUUGUAUUUCUACCAACAUCUUUCCUGUUUUCAGAGACACC